AUGGAUUCCAUCUUGGCGAAUGAAACUUGGGAGAUAACUGAUCGUCCUUAUGGGUGCAAACCUAUAGGAUGCAAAUGGGUAUUCAAGAAGAAGCUUAGGCCUGAUGGCUUUGUUGUGAACGAAGCUGACAAAUGUGUGUACUAUCGCCAUGGUGGGGAUGAAGGAGUUAUGCUUUGCUUGUAUGUUGAUGACAUACUGAUUUUCGGAACAAAUCUGAAUGUUAUUAACAAGGUCAAGGAUUUCCUAUCUCGUUGUUUUGAGAUGAAGGAUUUAGGAGUGGUUGAUGUCAUUCUGAACAUCAAGUUGUUGAGAGACGAUGAUGGUGGGAUUACAUUGCUUCAAUCUCACUAUGUGGAAAAGAUCUUGAGUCGCUUUGGCUACAGUGACUGCACUGCAAAUUAUGGAAUUCACUACACUGGGCACCCAAAGGUGCUUGAAGGGUAUAGUGACUCAAACUGGAUCUCAGAUGCUGAUGAGAUAAAGGCCACGAGCGGAUAUGUAUUCACUCAUGGAGGUGGCGCUAUUUCUUGGAAGUCUUGCAAGCAGACCAUCUUAACGAGGUCAACAAUGGAAGCAGAACUCACAGCACUAGAUACAGCUACGGUCGAAGUAGAUUGGCUUCGCCGGCUCUUGAAUGACUUACCGGUUGUUGAGAAACCUGUACCGGGUAUCCUUAUGAACUAUGACAAUCAAAUUGUGAUCAUGAAAGUGAAUAGCUCAAAGGAUAACAUGAAG
This 735-nucleotide ribosomal RNA is filed under the name Triticum aestivum (bread wheat). Its description in RNAcentral is "partial small subunit ribosomal RNA". Lineage: Eukaryota; Viridiplantae; Streptophyta; Magnoliopsida; Poales; Poaceae. The record is from RNAcentral.